CCGCCAGAAGACUACGAGCGAAAAGCUUAAAACUCAAAGGACUUGGCGGUGCUCCACACCCGACUUAGAGGAGCCUGUCCUAUAAUCGAUACUCCACGAUAAACCUCACCACCCAUUGCCUAAAACAGCCUAUAUACCGCCGUCGCCAACUUACCCCAUGAGGGCUUAAUAGUAAGUACAAUAGUACGUCAACUAAAACGUCAGGUCAAGGUGUAGCUAAUAGGGUGGAAGAGAUGGGCUACAUUUUUU
RNAcentral lists this ribosomal RNA (249 nucleotides) under Phrynosoma solare. Its description in RNAcentral is "partial 12S ribosomal RNA". It matches the Rfam family "Bacterial small subunit ribosomal RNA", at positions 869 to 1235 of the family's 1533-position model. The record is from RNAcentral. Lineage: Eukaryota; Metazoa; Chordata; Lepidosauria; Squamata; Phrynosomatidae.